AGUGAACGCUGGCGGUAGGCCUAACACAUGCAAGUCGAACGGCAGCACAGUAAGAGCUUGCUCUUACGGGUGGCGAGUGGCGGACGGGUGAGGAAUACAUCGGAAUCUACUUUUUCGUGGGGGAUAACGUAGGGAAACUUAAGCUAAUACCGCAUACGACCUACGGGUGAAAGCAGGGGAUCUUCGGACCUUGCGCGAUUGAAUGAGCCGAUGUCGGAUUAGCUAGUUGGCGGGGUAAAGGCCCACCAAGGCGACGAUCCGUAGCUGGUCUGAGAGGAUGAUCAGCCGCAGUGGAACUGAGACACGGUCCAGACUCCUACGGGAGGCAGCAGUGGGGAAGAUUGGACAAAGGGCGCAAGCCUGAUCCAGCCAUACCGCGUGGGUGAAGAAGGCCUUCGGGUUGUAAAGCCCUUUUGGUGGGAAAGAGAAGCAGCAGGUUAAUACCCCGCUGUGCUGACGGUACCCAAAGAAUAAGCACCGGCUAACUUCGUG
This 492-nucleotide ribosomal RNA is filed under the name uncultured bacterium. RNAcentral describes it as "partial 16S ribosomal RNA". It matches the Rfam family "Bacterial small subunit ribosomal RNA", at positions 29 to 507 of the family's 1533-position model. The record is from RNAcentral.